Molecule: long non-coding RNA, 1249 nt
Organism: Malania oleifera
Lineage: Eukaryota; Viridiplantae; Streptophyta; Magnoliopsida; Santalales; Ximeniaceae
Exons: 7
Source: RefSeq, a predicted model, not a curated record
ACGGUGCCUCUCGCACUCUGUUCCAAUUUCCUGGAGAAAUUUGCCGGUGCUUUCAUCAGAUUUCUCUGCCAUUUAGCUUUGCUUUGCUUAUACUCCACAAGUUCUCCAGUUUAAGGUGCGCGGGAAUCUAAGAGGUUUUUUUAUUUUCUUUCUUUCGAUGAGUUUUUCCAUGGAAAAGGUUGAAAAGACGGUGUUUUGUUUCAGGGAAAUCUGUAGGGCAAUGGCGACUAUGGUGGAGCCUCCGAAUGGGAUCAAGCCUCAAGGGAAGCAUUGUUUCCGGCUGUGGCAGACAUUGUUUGAGAUCGACACCAAAUAUGUUCCGAUCAAACCCGUCGGCAAAGGAGCCUAUGGGAUCGUCUGCUCUUCCUUUAACUAAGAAUCAAAUGAGAUAGUUGCCAUUAAGAAGAUAAAAAAUGUGUUUGAGAGUCAGAUUAGUGCACUGAGGAUGUUGAGGGAGAUGAUCCUGUUGAGGCACAUCAAGCACGAAAACGUAAUUGCUUGGAAGGAUGUUAUGAUGCCGACCCACAGGAAAAGCUUCAAGGAUGUUUAUCUUGUUUAUGAACUCAUGGAUACCGAUCUGCAUCGCGUCCUUAGGUCCCCUCAACCUCUUUCCCGUGACCACUGCCAGUUUUUUCUUUGUCAGUAAUAUAGAGGACAUGGCUCGGGACUCUGGUAGCGUGGAUAUUGAAGAAGAUGUUUUGCAUGAACUGCAGAUGGAACUACAACAACUCUGUUCAACUGAUGAAUUGGUUUAUCAACCCUUGUAUGAAAUGACACAGUUGGGCUGGUGAUAAGGCUUUGAAAGAGCUCCAAGAAGCUAGUAUUUCACAACAAUAUUUCCUGAUUUUGCAAGAAUGUGUAAAAAAGGUAUUCCACCAUGCAAUUUUGUGGGUUAGAUCCUUUCAGUAUGUUCUAUUACCAAGUCAGCUUUUUUAAUAGGCAAUUAGAGAUGCUUCAGAUACAGAGUUGUUCUUACCUCUUUUAAGUGGCCUGUCAGUGACAACAUUGGAAGGGUUUUUCUUAAGCGAAAUAGACAAAAUAAACUACAGCACUAGCCAUCUUCGCCCAACCCAAACAUCAUCAUCUCAAGAGAAAGAGCAAAAUCCAAUGAAUUCGAUCAGGGAACAAAUGAAAAGUGAUCACGGGAAAGAGGUUGAGGGGACCUAAGGACGCGAUGCAGAUCGGUAUCCAUGAGUUCAUAAACAAGAUAAACAUCCUUGAAGCUUUUCCGGUGGGUCGGCAUCAUAAC